GUGUAAGUUUUGGUCAGGUUUUCUAUGAGUGUUCACAAGCCUGUGCAUUCUCUCUGGGUAUUGCAGAGCUGUGAGGUGUUUCGGGAAGAAGAGAUGGUAGGGCAGAAGUUUGUCCCUGGAACAGAGGAAAAGCUAUUUACAAAGGCACGUCAGGGGCGGUUGCUUUGUGGCUGUGUACAGCCUUAGAUGAGCAGGGGCCUGAGCCGAGUCCUGGGGUUUUGAGGCACGAGAAAGCCGUGUGAGCUGCCUGGGAUUUUUGUUAUGGGAGGAAAUGCUGUGUGGCUCUGGCUCUGCAUACGACAGACCAACCUUUGGCUCAGGGACCAGGCUGUCUGUCCAACCAAAUGUUGUUCCAUCUCCUUCGGUCUACAGGCUGACCACUAAAGAUGAUGAGGAUUUGGAAAUGUGCCUUAUCACAGAUUACGCCCCUGAAAACCUUAAUGUUAAAUCAAACUCAGCUAAUAGUAGGACUGAAGCUGUUGUGGAGGUGGCAACAUCCGAGAAUAAACAGGAAGCAAGCUACCUGACAACCUACUGGGCCAAGAAGGAUAAGAUGGAGUGCGAUGCAGAGCACGAGAGAUUUGGAAAAUUAGAAGGAAAGGAUCCUGAAAGUGGUGCCUCCACUGUCUGUGUUACAGGGAUGUCACCACACUUCAGGACAGAUGAAAACCUGAACAUGCUGUCUUUCACACAGCUGGGCCUGAAAAUAAUUUUAAUGAAAGCAGUAAUUUUUAAUGUGGUGAUGACAAUCCUUAUGUGGAAGAAAAAAGAAUGAAAGUAACCGGUGAAGACCUAAGUACCAAAAAAAUCUGCUGAGAAUCUUUACAGGAGCAUCGGGUGCAAGAGGGAACACAGGCCAGGCGUUCCUGUUGCAACAGAUAUCACAUCGUGUUUUCUGUACAUCAAACCAGUCAUUAUAGUCUAAAUUGCUUUAUUUGCAUUUUUAAAAAGCUACUCAGAGAUAUGCUUACAGUUCUCGGCAUUGUGCUCUCCCACAGAUCUGAUUCAUUUAGCAUGACAAUGACUUUUUUUAUUUUUUUUGUUUUUGGCUGAAGAACAGAUUGCUUCUCAGAGUAUUCAUUUGCAACUGAAAUGGCAAAGAGAGUCUUAAUCAGGGUGCUAUGCACCAUGUCUUUCUGUCUUUUGCUGUCUGAGCAAGGUGUAUUCCUCCCUCUACCCUCACCCCAUCCCCCCCAAAAAAGAAAAAAAAAAGCUGCUAGAUCUCCCAGAAGUCCUUAAGUUAGUGAAAUUCUUGCUUCUCUAUCACAGAAGAAUGCUUUUUGCCAUUUUUCAAAGUCUACCUGUCAUUUCUUUAGGCUUUUGGCUGCUAUUAAAUAAUCAUUACCAAUAAUAA
Non-coding RNA from Cygnus olor (mute swan), 1354 nucleotides. The record is from the annotation of a RefSeq genome assembly. NCBI's taxonomy places the organism in Eukaryota, Metazoa, Chordata, Aves, Anseriformes, Anatidae.